GCUUUUGCACCUGUUUGCCCCUGAUGUCAUCGCGUCACACGUCACCACGACAGACGUUUCACGUCCAGUGUCCUCACGUCCAGCAGGUUUUUCUGAUGGGAGUUGACCGCCUUUUUGUUGUCGGAGGACUUAGCUGCUGCGGAAACUUGAGAAACGGCUGAUGACAUCCAUCUUCAGAGGGAAUGUGUCCUGAAAGCUCUCAUUGUCUUCUUGGGAGAAAAUGCAGUUGACCUUAUUCGUCAAAAUGUUGACAGCAGUGCCGAAGAUGUCCAGAGGGACGUGGAGCAUCUUACCAUAGCAGUGCUUGUUAAUCGGAAGGACUGCAAGAGCCUCCAGCAGACAUUGGCAUUGUCAUCGAGGGAGUGGAGGUGUUGCAUGACCUGACUUCAGUCGCCUCAGCUUGUGCUCUUCUUCUAGCAUUUUGACACUCUGAAGAAAAGACUGCGCCAAGACGUGUAAGAAUUUAUCUUUUUUGUAAGCCAAAUAAAAGUAAAAUGUGGA
Molecule: long non-coding RNA, 501 nt
Organism: Scatophagus argus
Lineage: Eukaryota; Metazoa; Chordata; Actinopteri; Scatophagidae
Exons: 4
Source: RefSeq, a predicted model, not a curated record